CAUUUCAACAUUCCAAUCCUUUACUUCUCCAAAAAUAAUGAACAAAAUAUCCAUUUUUGAGGGGGGUGGAGGGCAAAUUGGAAGAUCCAUUUGUGCUUUCGGUAUGGGAGGUAUUGGAAAUAAACUUCAUUUAUUGAUCACGCACGCCACAGAUUGUGGAGCGCGAUUGUGUUCAAAUAGGGUGUAAAUGACUUUCAAGAGCACUUCAUCGGUAUGAACCGUGUAAAAAAAUAAGUUUAUUUAUUCGAUGUUCAGAGUUGUUGCAUGAUAUUAUACCGGUUUCCAAUCAUUUGUAGGAAAGAAGUCGUGAACAACAACUUAGACUUGUUGCGAUUAUCGUAGGUCAUUGUUCAUCACUUCUCAAGUCAUGCUUCCUCCAUCAUACUAUCAACUAUCAAGUAGUAUCAAGUGUGUCCUUGCUCACCAUCUAAGGGUUUAAUGUCAUGGUAGUUAUUUUAUUACAUUUUCUUUUUUUUAUUACAAAGGUGCAGUGGUUCGAGAUUAAAAAAAACAGCAGUUGAAAAUAUCUAUUGGUGUAGAAAGUGUUAAUGUUGGUUGAUGCCUUAAUUAGCGAAUAAUGACUUAUAUUGAAGGGUUUAAAUCUAUAGCUUUGGUUUGUUGUAAAACCUACAUGAAGAAAGUGAAUUAGAAAGCAAGUCGACAUGUAAAGGCUGCCAUCAGAUUAGAUGAUUUUUCAUUUUUGGCAGUUUGUUGCAUAAUUGUAUUUGUGCCUUUGUACCGUUCUUUACCAUUCUACUUUAUCAAUUUUUGCUUUUA
Long non-coding RNA from Salvia splendens (bonfire salvia), 777 nucleotides. RefSeq lists it as uncharacterized. Lineage: Eukaryota; Viridiplantae; Streptophyta; Magnoliopsida; Lamiales; Lamiaceae. The record is from RefSeq and is a predicted model, not a curated record. The transcript has 2 exons.